Molecule: transfer RNA, 74 nt
Filed under: Enterobius vermicularis (human pinworm)
Lineage: Eukaryota; Metazoa; Nematoda; Chromadorea; Rhabditida; Oxyuridae
Rfam family: tRNA
About the family: Transfer RNA (tRNA) molecules are approximately 80 nucleotides in length.
Source: Rfam by way of RNAcentral
GGUUCCGUGGCGCAAUCGGUUAGCGCGUUCGGCUGUAAACCGAAGGUUUGGUUUUUCGAGCCCACCCGGGAGCG